GCUGGAAGUUGUGAGCUAGUUAGCCGAACAUGCUAACGUUUUUGACUUUAAAGCAGUUUAAUCCAGUUUUUACACUUUUAUUCUUGGGUUUUACAUACAAAUACUGCAUCAAAACCUGUUCAGUGAACAAAUUAAGUUGUUUAUCUGAAUUCCAAUCUGACAACAUGUACGAGAACCAAGUCAAAAGACGCAGUGUAGUUUGGUUUCUAUCAGCUAACGUGUCAGUACUCCUCCUGUUCAUACAGCGAGGAAUGUGCUUCAUUGACUGGUCGGUUUUACUGCGUAACAAAGCCAAAGAAAAAGCCAGUUGGUUUUUGUUUUCGCCUCCUUUUGUCCCAGUAAGAGAAGCCCAUAGAAAGCCUGUAGGUUGAAUUAACAAGCUUGUUUCCCAUGUACUGCUCUGCCCUCCCAGCAGCCCCCAUCAGCAGGAACAAGAUGUACUCAAAGAGGGAAACCCAGAGUCCUUAUGUUCAUCCAGACCGGGUUCUUGCUGGAAACCAGUUUGUAGCGUUCUGAGGUACAAUAGCAUGGCUUUGUUUUUAUGGGAGUAGGAUGGAACAAUGCGGAGUCCUGCUCGGUAACUCAAGCUACCAAACUAACGCUUAUUUUGAAUGAACUGUUUUGAUUUUGCAAAAUCAAAUUUAUAUUCUUGUGGUUUAGCAUUUAACCGUAAACAACAGACUCCACAUCGAGGAAUAUUUAACGAUCCUCUGAAACACACUGUGAGCUGCGACCAAACCCUUCCCUUAACAAUGUCUUGUUUUUGAACCAGACUUUUGGUGCGCAGCAAGAGGGGCGUUGGGUCUGAGAAAAUAACAAGGCGGAAGUUGUAAAUUCAUGACGUGCCGUGUCAGCAUUGAUGUAAAAAGGUGGUCACGUUAUAUGCAGCACGUUUCUCAUCACCUUCAACGAGCAACAGCACCCAAAUAGUUAACACAAAUGUCCCCCUUAUUUCCUACCUUGCUUUGGUUAAAUGUCCUAUUGCUUUACGACGUAAAUGAACGGCACGGCAUUUUAGUCUUCAGUCCCGGCAGAUAAACUAAGAGACGUUUGGUUCACACGGUGCAAUGUGGGUUUGUGAGACCUUUGCAAAAAGAUGUUGACUUCCUUGCAGCAAUGUGAAAAGUCCUAAGUCUAAUUCUAGUUCUAAGUCUAAGUCUAAUGCACAGAAGAUAAUAAUGUGUACCCCCCCAUUUACAAAAACACAUGUUUAUUAAUUAUUGUGUGCAGCAAGCUAUAUGUUUAUGUAUUUAUUUCUAGCACUUUGGGGCCUCUCCACUUUGUUGAGGGCAAUUUACAACCUUAUGAUUGAUGACCUCAUCAUAGCUUUGCAUUACUGCUAAUUGAGUAAAUCUAAUUAGCAUUAUAACACCAUAAACACUUGAGGGGACUCUAAUUUAAGAAAAGUCUUUGUGUUUAGUUAAUGCAAUGUUCCUUUUAAAUGGAAACCAAAAUGUCUGAGGAAAAAAGCUAUUGGUUAAAUAAAUGCAGUGGAGUAAAAACACUUUUCUCUGAGGAGUAGAAGUGCAGUGCUGGCAGACUUAAAGGUGUAAACCCGAGGGGGUACCGGCUGGGUGUCGGGUGGUGCUACCGGUUGUGUUGGCUGUAUGAGCGCUGGCAGUGAGCACCAACAUGCACUAAAAAGCAGCAUUCCGGCUAAAUAAGCGAAGCGGAGAGGAGCUCUGACAACAACACGCAGCGGUCGGCUGAAGCCGAGUUGGUGUUGAGGCUGAUGGUAAAAACACCUGUUGAACCGAGACGGACCGAAUUGAGCUGAAGACCAGCUGUGCGUCAACCAGAGAUCCAUCAAUUCUUUAUGUGGUGGUCUCAAAGACAAAAAACAGUCUUGUUUGAUAUGUCCUGAUUGGGAAUUGUGGAUUGCAGAAAUGCCUGACGACUGAAGCCUGAACCCCCCGGUUAACACUCAGAGUGUCACUAAUUCUUUGUCCCCACUUUCAACAAGUCUAAGAAAAAAUAAGUUAUUUAUGGUUUAUGAUAUACAUAUUAUUUUCAUAACAUGGUCAUUUAUUGCACAAAGCUACUGAUCAUCUUUAGUGCAUUUAUGUUGGUCUAGUUUGACUAUAGAUAUCAACAACAAACAAGGAUCCACCUCAUCAGUCAUUUUGAUAUUUGAUAUGAUGGGGAUGAAUGCAUCUUCGCUGCACCUUUCUGUUGGAUCCCUGCUUUAAUUAUCAGGAUUACUCAUCCCGCUGUCAAAAAGCGAGCCGCGUGUCAUGAAGACGGUUCAGCAAAGGUCGUGGACUGAACCACCUGAGCUCGAGUGGCGCGCUGACGAGCCCGGACCUGGCGCGCCCGGCUCACGGUUAAACCGGGAGUCAGACGUGGGAGCUGAAAGACGAUCUCCCUGAGUGCUCUGAUCUCUUCAGCCUGGAUUGAGGAGAAAGGAGUGUCCGGUUUCCAGUGUUUCAUGGAGGACAGGACGUACUGUGAGAAAGAGCCUCACCCCCGACAGAGAGAGUAACCGGAGAGGUAACCACUUAAAGCACAGGAGAGAUCAGGUAUUCCCCAAGGGAGUCCUUGGGGACAGUGGACACAAUGAAUGAGCAUGACACAUGUCACCGUAUAGCUCGGUGAGAUGUUGACUCACGCAGGCCGAACGAGAGAAUAGCGCGUUGUUUCAACUCAUUUACACCAUUAUGGAUUCACCCAUGAAGUAAGUUCAGCAUGUAGGCCGUUAAGUAUCCUGAUUUUGGGUGUAGGACCACUGGGCACAGUAGUGAGGAGGCCACUGAAAGAGAUGACAACAAAAGGUAGAACCACAUAGAAGAAACCAAACCUCCCACAACAGAGACACAAUUGGCCCCCUGAAAGAUGAGAAAUGUCCUCAAAGGAACACAAAAAUAUCACUGAAAGAUGGGAAAUCACAUUUAAAAAAGUAAACAUGACAAAAAAUUGAUGGACAGAAGAAGAAGAGAGACAACCUACACGUUGCGUUGUCUUGCCGCUAUGUAGCACAUGUCUCUUUGCACUGGGGCCUGUAAAAGAUUCUCUUCCGCACCUCUGACCUUAUUGUACAUUACUAAAGAAGCUGACCUCUGUGGCUCUGCAUCGUGUGCGGGCUCGCACGGCUGAAUCUGUGGUGUCCAAACACCUGAACCCUGCGUGCCCCCUCAACCCCUUGACCUCCGACCCUUGACCAUCACGUAUCUCACUCUGAUCUUGUCUUCCGGACCAUCCCGGGGGAUCCGUCCGCAGACAGACCGACAGCCAGCGCGUCCUCGGAGCUGCUGAGGGACGUCGCGCUGACAGCGGGUGUUUCCUUCAGGCAACGUCUCGGCUUUUCUUUGUUCCAUCGGGAGAGUUCGCUCAAUACUUGAGUGGACGUGCACCCGACUGACGGCUAGAUUCUGGACGACGAACCCUAAGAUGUCAGGCAGAUGUGGAAUGUGGCACAGCCGCGUUGGUGAUGAGCGGAGGACAGAGGUUGUUUACUCGUGAGGAUUUCGUUUUUCCAGCUCUGUCACCCAAAUGAGUUUGGAAUCUUUGCUUUUCAGUGGGGUGAGAGAGAACCGCUGGCGAUUGGACAAACGGGAUGUUAGCCGCUCUUUUGCUCCUUCAUGGCCUUGCUGUUGACGACAGUGCCGCUACAGACAUGCAGACAUGUAGAGUCAUCCGGUAGUCUCAGCUCUCUGAUGCUUCCACGUUCCCACAAUAACUGUGCAGAGAAGCGUUACGUCACCACGCAGCCUUCGGUUCAGCGCUCACAGGCCGCCACUUACUCCAGGAGACAUCACAUGUGUGCAGUUUAUCACUGGACUAGAGGCAAGCCAAGGUGUCACUGGGAGAUUUACUGAGUCUGGGCUUCAGUCAUCAGGGAUUCAACACGCAGCAGCAACGAGUCCUGUGGGGUGACUGAUGGGCUGGUUAGGAGAUGAAACAUUCAUGUUGGACUUUCUUUGCGUCCGUCCAACAGAAAGCAGUGGAGAUACUGUCAUGAACCAACACAGCUGGACAGUUAUGCUUUUUAUUCCAAUACUAAGUUCAUGUGUGAAAGGAAUUCCUUGCUUCUUAUUGGCUUCUGGCCGUUUUCCAAUUGACUAAAUAUGGUUGAACCCUGACAACUUGCACAGGCUGCAGUAAUGUAUGAAUAUUUGCAUAGGAAACAUGUGUUGUGCCGUCCAAACAAAAGUGAUCAACUGACCGAAACUAAUGAGUAUAUUAUUAUUGAUUAGUAAGCCCCCCCUUCACCACCUCCCCUCAAGUGAAAGUCUUCUAAUCUCCUCUUUUGAUUCACAUGAGUUCUAAAACCUAAAGAUAUUUAGCUUAUAAUUGUAGGGGACUAAAACUUUAACAUUCAGAACCCAAUUGUUAAAGUGAAGCCACAUUCAGUUCCGUUUUUUACUCAAACAACCUAAAUAUUAUUUUUCAAAAAUAGUUCAAUCGAUCCAUUGAUUUAUUAUCUAUACAAACAUGAAGUCUUUAUAGCUUCAGAAGCUGUCACAAAGCUCUCAAACAAAAUGAUCUUUCCAAAAGACGGCAUAGAGAAUGUUAAGCUCCAGCAGUGCAGAAGGAUCCUUUUAAACAUAACAAUGCAAUCCCAAAGUUUCAUUUUAUGUAAGUGGAAAUUUUCUUUUGAUCAAAAAUGUUGCUUCUAAAUGAAUUUAGUAAAAUAGGCCAACCAUGUGUGACGCUCCCUCCUUUUGUCCCAGAGGCUCCUGGUAAAAAGUACCAAAUGUCAUUAUGCAGAAUGACCCAUUUCAGAGUGCUGUAUACUACGUUACUGUAUUAAAAUCAUUGACGCAUUCAUCCGUUCAUCACAUUAAUGUUGUAGGCAGUGAACUUGGAGGUCAUUUCCAUGACCUCUUGCUGUAUUUGUUAACUGUAUAAUAGUGCUUCAUAAUGGGUUGGUUGAUUUAUAUUUUUGUAUUAAUAAUGUGAUAAUAAUCUUCAAAGCAGAUAAAAAAGGUGCAAUAUUUGUUGUAAAUUACCGAAUUUAGAUACUAGUUUCUCAAAAUGACAAUCAUCCCUUUAGUGAGAAUAAUAAUAACAACAAGUCAGAGCUUUUCAUCAGCGGAAGCAACUUGUUUUGACUGAUUUUAUAGUGGCACCAAUGGUCAUAAUCCCACCUUUCCAGUACACAAACACAGCUGAAUCAGCAAACUUCCUCACGUGUUUUCAAACUUUAAAUCCCUGAAAUGACUCCCGGAUGAGCCUCCGUAUGCAUUUUGGAUUUAUUCCUGAUUACAGCAGCUGUAAUGCAGACAUCUGUUUCGGUCUGCAGGAAACUCUCUCGCCAAUCUGUCAGCAGACACUCGCAAGGUUUACUUUGACAAAGGCAGGAUAACGACUUCCUUAUGAGCUUCCCUUUGUGAGUAAACAAUUCAGAGGCGAGCCUUAAAAAAUGGAAUAAAAAGCAAACAUUAAGAAACAGGGAGAAUCUGUAGAUAAAUACCAAUCACUUCUCCAUUCCGUUUCUUCUCAAUGCAAACUGAGCUGAAUUGUCGCCGUGCAGCCGAGUGGUAAUUAUUUAUAUGAUUUGCAUUUCAAAUUCAAUUCCCUCUCAUGGAAGACGGCGGGAUAAUAAGAUGCAAAUUAGUUCAUCGGAGUGCGAAGAAGAGGAGGAAGAAAAAAAAAACCUGAUGAAAAGCAGAAAUUUUUGUGUACUACAGAUAAUUUGGGGGACUAAUGAGUUUAUUUUCCUGCGACGGAUGGAGACCAAGGAAGAGUUCCCAUUCCAAUAAAUAUAUGCAAGACACCGGAAGAAAUACUUAUACUAUAUACAGAGACAGUACAACUGCUUUGUACAUGAAUACAGAUCUUCAACAUAAGUUUAAAUAUCAGAAGGUCAGUUUGUAUUGCUGGGUCACACCAGCAUUUAAAACACGCACAUUUAAAUGAUUUCAUUUAAAUUUAAGAACCACGAUCCUUGAAUUUACUACUAAAAUAAAUUCUUGAAAUUCAACUUUUGAGAAAUUUCUAAUGAA
Molecule: long non-coding RNA, 5945 nt
Organism: Gasterosteus aculeatus aculeatus (three-spined stickleback)
Lineage: Eukaryota; Metazoa; Chordata; Actinopteri; Perciformes; Gasterosteidae
Source: Ensembl